AGUUAUAAUUAAACACAUGCAGGAAAAUAUAGAAAAACCUUGAUAAUAUUACGUUUACUGCUCGCGGCAGGAAUCGCUGCACCAGUAGCUGACGUCCGACAUCGACCGCGUCUCCACUUUCAUCUUUUGGGGAUUUUAGACAGGUUAUACGUUUUUCAGCAAUUUCUCAUAUUUUCCAAAAAGCCAUUCUUAUAGCCACAAUGAAGUUCAGGC
Long non-coding RNA from Bufo bufo (common toad), 213 nucleotides. RefSeq lists it as uncharacterized. The transcript is spliced from 3 exons. NCBI's taxonomy places the organism in Eukaryota, Metazoa, Chordata, Amphibia, Anura, Bufonidae. The record is from RefSeq and is a predicted model, not a curated record.